UAAUCACUGAAUAGAGGAAGACAUUUCUCUCUUUUUAAUUUGAAGCCCUCAUUUUGCUCAGUCAUACUGCUAGACCUCAGUGUGAAACCCUCCUUUCAAUUUAUGUGAUACUGGAUGAAUCAGGAAUCUGUAAUAUGGAAAUGAGAUAUACACACUGUAAACCCGAACACACUGCUUACUCAAAAGAAUUAUGAGUUCAGCAAUCAAAGCCCGCUAAUAAGUAUACUAUACACUAAACAACCAAGUCUUCUUAACGAGUUAUGUUGUUUUAAUUAUGUGUGUAUCAUCGUUUUUGACUGAUGAUGGAUUUCUAAAUCAAACCCUUCGAGUGUUGAAACGCACGCUGACUUGUGACGUCAUUAGCGGCCAAACGGGACUUUACGUUUUCAGAAAAUUCAAGAUGGCUACCCGAUGCGAGGGAGACGGUUUUGCAAGUAACGGAGCAAAACUGUUAAUAAACUUGUUGGAACCAGUAUGUAUAUAAGUUAUCUCAUAUUUACUCGUCUGAUAUUAUAGGUGUCUGAACCUGACAAAACUAUUUAAUGAAAGUCAAGAGAACCAAUAUUUAUUCGCUGUGCUGUGAAAGAAAUGUUUUUGUGGUCUUUAACUUCUAUUUUACAACCGUGUGUGCUCUGGGAGGACCGCUUCAGGAUGUAGAGGCAGUUUGGCGCGUGACUUUUAUGCUAACGUUAACGGACAUUAGCUCCAAAGUAACGUAACGUUGUGACUGAAGCCUUCGCCUGACAGUCGGCAGAGAAUGCACUUUGGUCCGGUGAGUAAAAAAGUUGAUCACAUUUCGGCUCUGUUGUCAGGCGCAGUUACAUUUACAGAAAGGCUAACGCUAGAAGUAAGCUGGCUCACAUUGAGGUAGCGUUUGCACUAUUGUGAACUGCUGUCACUGUCAGUUAAUGUUAACUCACGUUAGUUAAAGUUAUAUUGUGGAGACAGUCAACUUCUGCGUUUGUUUAUAAGCUGUUCCUGAAAUAGUGUUGAUGCAUGGCUAAAAGUUUAAUGUGAACUUUAUUAACUGUAAACCUAAUGAUUCUCCUCAGCCCUUCAGAGACUAGUUGCCUCGUCUGAAGUGGCUGUAACGUUAAUAUGUAUCUGUAAAGGAGUAACGUUAACGUUAUUUUUCCACUGUGGUAAUGAAACCUUUUAACCGGUGAAAAAUGCUCAGUUUUCAUUGAAACUAUUUUAUCAUUUGUUCAUUUUGGAAGAUGUUUGUGGUAAUGUUACGUUGACAUGAGUUGCAUUAUUACACAAAAGAGUGUGUGUUAUUUAGCAUCGGCAGCACAACUGCAGUUUCCAAAAUGAUCAUACAGUCGAAUCAACAACUCUCUGAAUCAGUUUCAUCCAAAACUGAACAUUAUCAUUGUUAUGGAGGAUUUAUGGUAUGAUUUAUGUAUUACUGAUUACUUUUUAGCUAGAUGUAACUAUUGAACUGGUAACUUACUCUUAGAGACUAAAUACAUUUCUCACAACAUUAAACUAUUCCAGUAUCAAAUGUUUGUGAGAAGUGUUUACAUGGCCAUUAUUUUGUAAACUAAUAGAAAAUUGGUGUUCAUAUGUGUGCCCAUUAAGGACUAUAGAGAGUGCUGUUGAAGGGAUUUCAUCUUGUCCAUAAUCACCUGACUUGCGAAAGCAGCUCUUGUAUCGCUGAGAUUAACUAUUGAGUGACACUACAGCUAUCCAAGGGGUUUUCUGAGUUCCAUCAUCAUCAUGAUUAAUGUUGAACCUAUGGAGCCAAUUCAACUGUGAGCUUGACACCACAGCUGAUUGUCCUGUCUAGGUGGAGCGCCUCACAGAUGGGCAAGACAGCAGAGGCACUGCAGAGAUCCUAGGAUUUAUGACCUCCAGAAACAACAUGAUGUACACAUGAGACGCAUUCUGGCCCUUCGUGCCCUCCCAGAGAGGGUGACUGAUUUCUUCAAGACCCGCAAUUGCAAAGAUGAACCAGAUAUUGCUGACACGCCUGUGGCUCUCCUCACUGUGGUCACUGACGACGCCCCUGCUGCGGUCCACUUCAACCCUGAGAGCGUUUCUGUUGUAGUCGAAGUGGAAAUUGUGAGUGAUUAUCCAAAGAAACUAAUUUACGCAUUCACCUUUGUUCAGAAAAUAAUAAUGUCUUGAUGAUAGCAAACCACUGAAGCUGUGACUAAAAGUACUUGUUGAAAGAAGUUUGAAUGUACUCAUGUACAUAAACGGUUUGUUUCUGUGAAAUAUAGAAAUGGCAGGAGAUGUUACAAGUUGUGAUAAUGAUUGUUGAAUAAAGAAAACUUGACUUGUAAGAA
Micropterus salmoides (largemouth bass) is the source of this 2291-nucleotide long non-coding RNA. RefSeq lists it as uncharacterized. Lineage: Eukaryota; Metazoa; Chordata; Actinopteri; Centrarchiformes; Centrarchidae. The record is from RefSeq and is a predicted model, not a curated record. The transcript has 5 exons.